RNAcentral lists this ribosomal RNA (478 nucleotides) under uncultured bacterium. Its description in RNAcentral is "bacterial SSU rRNA". It matches the Rfam family "Bacterial small subunit ribosomal RNA", at positions 39 to 507 of the family's 1533-position model. The record is from RNAcentral.
AGCGGCAAGGCUUAACACAUGCAAGUCGAGGGGCAGCAUGAAGGUUAGCAAUAACCUUGAUGGCGACCGGCGCAAGGGUGCGUAACGCGUGAGCAACUUGCCCGUUUCAGGGGGAUAACCGGUGGAAACGCCGACUAAUACCCCAUAGUAUGGGGUUUAGGCAUCUUUAUCCAAUUAAAGAACUUCGGAAACGGAUAGGCUCGCGUGACAUUAGCUAGAUGGCGGGGUAACGGCCCACCAUGGCGACGAUGUCUAGGGGUUCUGAGAGGAAGGUCCCCCACACUGGAACUGAGACACGGUCCAGACUCCUACGGGAGGCAGCAGUGAGGAAUAUUGGUCAAUGGUCGAGAGACUGAACCAGCCAUGCCGCGUGAAGGUCACGGCCCUAUGGGUCUUAAACUUCUUUUGUAAGGGAGCAAUAAGUCUCACGUGUGGGAUGAUGAGAGUACCUUACGAAUAAGCAUCGGCUAACUCCGUG